GGCCUCAAAUCAGGUAGGACUACCCGCUGAACUUAAGCAUAUCAAUAAGCGGAGGAAAAGAAACUAACAAGGAUUCCCCUAGUAACGGCGAGUGAAGCGGGAAGAGCUCAAAUUUGAAAUCUGGUGGACUUUGUUCAUCCGAGUUGUAAUCUAGAGAAGUGUUUUCUGUGCCGGCCAAUGUACAAGUCCCUUGGAACAGGGCGUCAUAGAGGGUGAGAAUCCCGUACUUGACAUUGAGCACCGGUGCUCUGUGAUACAUUUUCAAAGAGUCGAGUUGUUUGGGAAUGCAGCUCAAAAUGGGUGGUAAAUUCCAUCUAAAGCUAAAUAUUGGCGAGA
RNAcentral lists this ribosomal RNA (336 nucleotides) under Zyzygomyces bachmannii. Its description in RNAcentral is "partial large subunit ribosomal RNA". It matches the Rfam family "Eukaryotic large subunit ribosomal RNA", at positions 1 to 331 of the family's 3401-position model. The record is from RNAcentral. Lineage: Eukaryota; Fungi; Basidiomycota; Tremellomycetes; Filobasidiales; Filobasidiaceae.